This 201-nucleotide unclassified non-coding RNA is filed under the name uncultured fungus. RNAcentral's name for it is "partial contains 18S rRNA, ITS1, 5.8S rRNA, ITS2 and 28S rRNA". Lineage: Eukaryota; Fungi. The record is from RNAcentral.
AAGGAUCAUUAUUACAUGCCUGCAAUAUUGCUUGGGAGACCUUGCAAUGUUAGCUCGCUAAUUCCUUGCCUAUAUUACCUUCUGUUACUUCCCUUGGCAGGACAUCCUGUCGCUGGAAUAAGUUAAACUCUCUUGCAUUUUAGCAUUUUAUCAGAAAACAUCAAGUUAUUACAACUUUCAACAAUGGAUCUCUUGGCUCUG